CAUGUUUAGCAAGUUUGAAUUUGAUGGGAAACUGAAUCCUACUUUUGUGGAAGGGGCAUUUAAGCUCCCAUUAUCAAGCAUACGAGCAUAUCUAAAAGAGCCUAUUACUCCCAGGUUCGUACACUUAGGUUCUGCAGGAGCUACCCGACCUGACAGGCCUGGACUUGAUCUAAGUAAACAACCUCCUGCUGUUCGCUUAAACAAGGAAUUGGAUUUUAUACUGACAUUCAAGUUGAAGGUUUCAUACUAAUUCAGUGGAACCUGUUGGUAUUUUUAUAUAUAAUCAGUGUAUCAAAAUACCACUUCUUAGCUCUUUUCUCUC
Prunus persica (peach) is the source of this 322-nucleotide long non-coding RNA. RefSeq lists it as uncharacterized. The record is from RefSeq and is a predicted model, not a curated record. NCBI's taxonomy places the organism in Eukaryota, Viridiplantae, Streptophyta, Magnoliopsida, Rosales, Rosaceae. The transcript has 2 exons.